RNAcentral lists this ribosomal RNA (508 nucleotides) under uncultured bacterium. RNAcentral's name for it is "partial 16S ribosomal RNA". It matches the Rfam family "Bacterial small subunit ribosomal RNA", at positions 30 to 523 of the family's 1533-position model. The record is from RNAcentral.
AUUGAACGCUGGCGGCAUGCCUUACACAUGCAAGUCGAACGGCAGCGGGGGAGAAGCUUGCUUUUCUUGCCGGCGAGUGGCGAACGGGUGAGUAAUACAUCGGAACGUGCCCUGUAGUGGGGGAUAACUAGUCGAAAGAUUAGCUAAUACCGCAUACGACCUGAGGGUGAAAGUGGGGGACCGCAAGGCCUCAUGCUAUAGGAGCGGCCGAUGUCUGAUUAGCUAGUUGGUGGGGUAAAGGCCUACCAAGGCGACGAUCAGUAGCUGGUCUGAGAGGACGAUCAGCCACACUGGGACUGAGACACGGCCCAGACUCCUACGGGAGGCAGCAGUGGGGAAUUUUGGACAAUGGGCGAAAGCCUGAUCCAGCAAUGCAGCGUGCGUGAAGAAGGCCUUCGGGUUGUAAAGCACUUUUGUCCGGAAAGAAAUGGCUCUGGUUAAUACCUGGGGUCGAUGACGGUACCGGAAGAAUAAGGACCGGCUAACUACGUGCCAGCAGCCGCGGUAA